GACCCCAUUCCAUGGGCUGGGACCAACCCAACCCAACCCAACGUUGGCCAACCCCAACCAGGCGCCGACCUCUCUCCGUCCCCUUCCCCCAGGAGCACAAAGCCAAGGUGACGGCGCUGGAGGAGCGCGUGGCCCAAGCGAAGACGCGCUACUCAGUGGCCCUCCGCAACCUGGAGCAGAUCAGCGAGCAGAUCCACGCCCGCCGCCUCCAACGCCUCGUCCUCCGCCGCGCUUCGCCGGUGGGCGCCGAAUCCGGUAGAAGGGCGAAGGGCGAUGUUGGCCGGCUUUGGUUCGCCGAAGAAGAGCGUCCGUUGGGUUUCGGUUGGGUUGGCCAAGGCUCUACCGGCAGUGCCGGCUUCUUGGGCGGCCAAAAACGAGGGGAAAAAAAACCCGAAUUUGGGCGCCGUGGGGGGGUGUGUUUGCCACCGAAACAUCACGUUUUGGGUGUCCCAUCUGCUCGUUGGCCAAAAUGGGGCGAAAAAACCCCAAAUCGGGCACCGUGGGGGUGCAUUUUCCCCCUAAAACGUCGCUAGUUGCGUCUCCCAACACCAGUUGGGUUUCCCAUCUCCUCGUUGGCCAAAAUGGGGUGAAAAAACCCAAAAUCAGCCGCUUUUCAGAUGUGUUUUGCCCAGACCACCACUAGCUGGGUCUCUCAUCUCCUCGUUGGCCAAAAUGAGGGGAAACAACCCAAAAUUGGGCACUUGGGGGGGGGUGUUUGCCACCAAAACCGCAUCAGUUGGGUGUCUCGACCUCUAGCGUGAGUGCUGCCUCUUCAUUGGCCGAAAUGGGGUGAAAAAACCCAAAAUCGGCCACUUUUGAGAUGCGUUUUCCCCCAAAACACCACUAGUCGGGUCUCCCAUCUCCUCGUUGGCCAAAAUAGGGCGAAAAAACCCAAAAUCGGGCGCCGUGGGGGUGCGUUUUCCCCCUAAAACAUCGCUAGUUGGGUCUCCCAACACCAGUUGGGUUUCCCAUCUCCUCGUUGGCCAAAAUGGGGGAAAAAAAAACAAAAUCGGCCACUUUUCAGAUGUGUUCUCCCCCAAAACA
This 1044-nucleotide long non-coding RNA is filed under the name Numida meleagris (helmeted guineafowl). Its description in RNAcentral is "lncRNA (ENSNMEG00000001915.1)". The record is from RNAcentral. Lineage: Eukaryota; Metazoa; Chordata; Aves; Galliformes; Numididae.